CGGGGUGUGGCGCAGUCUGGUAGCGCGCCUGCUUUGGGAGCAGGAUGUCGGGAGUUCGAAUCUCUCCACCCCGACCA
This 77-nucleotide transfer RNA is filed under the name Immundisolibacteraceae bacterium. Its description in RNAcentral is "tRNA-Pro". It matches the Rfam family "tRNA". From Rfam's summary of the family: Transfer RNA (tRNA) molecules are approximately 80 nucleotides in length. Their secondary structure includes four short double-helical elements and three loops (D, anti-codon, and T loops). Further hydrogen bonds mediate the characteristic L-shaped molecular structure. tRNAs have two regions of fundamental functional importance: the anti-codon, which is responsible for specific mRNA codon recognition, and the 3' end, to which the tRNAs corresponding amino acid is attached (by aminoacyl-tRNA synthetases). tRNAs cope with the degeneracy of the genetic code in two manners: having more than one tRNA (with a specific anti-codon) for a particular amino acid; and 'wobble' base-pairing, i.e. permitting non-standard base-pairing at the 3rd anti-codon position. Lineage: Bacteria; Pseudomonadati; Pseudomonadota; Gammaproteobacteria; Immundisolibacterales; Immundisolibacteraceae. The record is from RNAcentral.